This 460-nucleotide ribosomal RNA is filed under the name uncultured bacterium. RNAcentral's name for it is "partial 16S ribosomal RNA". It matches the Rfam family "Bacterial small subunit ribosomal RNA", at positions 338 to 795 of the family's 1533-position model. The record is from RNAcentral.
CCUACGGGAGGCAGCAGUGAGGAAUAUUGGUCAAUGGACGCAAGCCUGAACCAGCCAUGCCGCGUGCAGGAAGACGGCUCUAUGAGUUGUAAACUGCUUUUGUACGAGGGUAAACGCAGAUACGCGUAUCUGUCUGAAAGUACCGUACGAAUAAGGAUCGGCUAACUCCGUGCCAGCAGCCGAGGUAAUACGGAGGAUUCAAGCGUUAUCCGGAUUUAUUGGGUUUAAAGGGUGCGUAGGCGGUCGGAUAAGUUAGAGGUGAAAUCCCGAGGCUCAACUUCGGAAUUGCCUCUGAUACUGGUCGGCUAGAGAGUAGUUGCGGUAGGCGGAAUGUAUGGUGUAGCGGUGAAAUGCUUAGAGAUCAUACAGAACACCGAUUGCGAAGGCAGCUUACCAGGCUACUUCUGACGUUGAGGCACGAAAGCGUGGGGAGCAAACAGGAUUAGAUACCCUUGUAGUC